CACUGGCACAGCUUCCCGGGUUGAUGCCAACACCACCCAUGAGCGGGGGCAGGCAGGUCCAUGCCCAGAGCCAAAUGCAGUUUUGUCCUGUGUAACACACUUUCUGGAAGGUUACGCUUCUAACAAUAGUGCUUCACCAGUCUUCCACAUGUAACUGUGAUACAAUCAGAGCUGCAAGGCCCUCAGCGUUGUGCUACCGUGGAUCUUCACAGGGACAAAGCAGCCCUCUGCAGCUCUCCAGCAGACGAGAAGCAGACCCUUGGGAGUCUGGAAGCUGGAGGCGGGGGCCCUUGAAUCAGGGAACCAAGAAUGAGAAAAGUGUGUCUUACGCCAAGGACCACGGCAGCAGAGGAGGAUGCAGCCCAGACAACUCACUGGUGGCCCAGGACGCACGGAGUGGACCCGAGGCGUUGUGAGGGUUGAGGACCACAGCUGUGGGGGACCCCUGCCGUCUCUAUGUCCUUGGCACUGGUGGCGAGGGUGCAGGGCCAGCCCGCUGGGUGCUGCCUGGCCUAAGCAUCUCCCUCUGCAUUACAUUUCCCGCGCAGCACCCUCUCAUCCUCGGUUUCACGCUGCGCCUCACUUCUGGUGCCCUGAGACUCCGAAAUCUCCACCCCGCUGGAAUGCACAACUCAGUGCCCACUGUGUGCAAAGAAACCCUGAGGACUUUAGACUGAGCAGCAUUUCAGAAACAUCACUGUGCUGAGGACUAAAGAAAAGUCAGCAAUCACAGAAAUUGCCACAUGCAUUUGGAAUGAUGAAAAUAAAGAGAAAAGGCAGAUACAUGGGAAAUAGGAAUGUUUCAUGGUUGUCUUUGUUGAGGGGAUUGCUAGACAGGAAAGAGACUACACCACAUUCUAUCAUAUUUAAUAGAACAGGUGGCACAAAUAUUAUAAAAAACAGAUUUUUUAAAGCCCAUGUAAGAGGAAUUUCAGAAAUUACAGCUGUUCAGAACUCGCACACAUUUUUCCAUAAUAAUAAAUUCCUCUUCGCUAGCUGUGUAGGACACAAAUAGAAGGGGGAGGCAUCAGUGAUGCUUUAGUAAACUAUCUGAACUGCUGGCGCUGUUGGCAAGGAUUUCCAAGUAGCUUUCUCUUUCUUUCAAAGAGUUCUCCUGAAGUAGGUCACCAAAAAUAUUUUCAAGAGAGGGAAAACAGUACCAUAGAAACACAAAACUUUCAGCUUCUCUCAAAGAGCCACAAAAGCUUCACAUCUCAAUAAGCAUUUUGAAAAAUACCAGCCCUAUGGUUGAAGUAAGAUUUCCAGAGAACCUCAUUUAAUUAGAAUAUUGGGAUCAGCUGCUUUGUUUUUCAAGAAUAACAGAGAUGUACUCUCCUUCUCUCUCAUCAUAGUAUUCCAGAAUUUGUCCCAAGAGGGGCUGUUUACAAAAAUUAGCAUAUUUGCUUUUCUAGCCCUGUAAAUUGGCAUGCCUCGGUAGUGGCUCAAAGAUAUUCUAGGCUUCCAAAAGCCUCUCUGGUGCUCAUGAGAAUGACUCAAGCUGAAUACAUUUUUUGUUCACACAAGGUUGUUGCUAAGCAGAAACUUUGGUAUAUCAGAUUAUGUAAUGCUUCUUGUUCCUUUCCCUGGGAAGCACCCCAAUUUUCGUGAAGUUAGCAAACCCAAACUCAGCCAAAGCAUGCUUUGUGCUUCCUUCUUGACACUGGGUAGAAGGGCAGUCUGUGAGACGAAUAAAGGAGUCAUUGCAACUGACAUUAGAAUACUGAGCCUAAAUAAAAAUCCUCUAAAAAUAAGUAGUUUAAACCAUGAUGUGUUAAUGGUGCCAGUUUAAGGAAGGCAUUCUUCAGAAGUACUUGGACUGUAUUCACCAGUAGUUUAGGUACUGAAAAAAAUUCAUGUUUCAGAACUUACAAGAGUUAGAAAUGGUAUCUCAAACAAGGCUCUUCAACCGCCACUAUGCUGACUUAGCUACAGAUGGCGGUCCUUUGAAUUCUGCGACAUGGGUGAUGUCAUAUGCAUUUGAGUCUGUAUGGCCACGCCUGCUUGGUCUUGAGUCUGGAAGUGACCCCUGAGGGUGGAGUUACUUUACCCCUGAGAGGUCCUAGGUCCUCUCCUAACUGGUCCCCGGGGCCAGAGCAGCAGUGGUAGAGGUAUAGACACUGCUCUUCCUUUUUAUUGGUGUUCUUUUUUCCCUGCUUGAAAGGUUCUUAGGCUCCCAACUGGACAAGAACAUGUUUCUGUCUUCACUGUGGACUAUAACUUGGUGUUUCUAAUCUGGCAUUUCCCUGUUAUGGAAAGAUUUGUGUGAAUUUCUUGGAAGACAUUUUGAACUCUCUACUUUUAAUCACUGAUGUAUUUUUCAGUUUCCUGAAGCAUGUGUUUUUUAUCUUCCCUUGUCAUAAAUUAUUUUAAUAUUGUCAUUUUUUGCCUGUGUUUUUCUCAUGAGCAUACAUUUUGAGAACUCUGCAAACAUUAAUGUCAAAACUAAAUUAAUAUUUUUAUGUCUGUGAACUCACAUUUGUCCAACAAGUUCUUAUCCAAGUUUUCUUAUAUUCUUCAACUUGACAAAAGAUAGUGAGCUGGUUAGUUAAUAUAUUUUUGUGUAUGCUGAGCAUUAGGAUAAGAAUGAGAAUUUUUGCCUAAUAAUAGCAGCCAUUACCACAUCAGCACAUGUUAGAUAGGAUUCAGUGGAUGUAAAACCCAAGAGCAGUAGCAACUCCUGGAUGCUUUCAAAUUUACGGCAGAUAACCCAGACAGAACCCUCCAGAACAUAAGAAACAGUCUGAAAUGAAUUAAAAUCUAGGACUUUCUGAAUUUGGAAGGUUAAUGUAGGACAUGAGCCUUCUCUAGUUUGGAAUCUUUACAGCUCUGCUUUAUAGGAGCUAGAAUGGAUAGGUGUAGUCAAAUUAAUCUUUUAAUGAGUCAGUCUACCUUGGACUGAAUGUGGGGAGAAAGACUGAUUUGCUGCAAAAUGUACAAACCGAAUAGAGAUAGUUCUAGUGUAUCUUUCCUGUUUUUUUUUUUUUUUUUUUUGGUCUGGUCUGAGUUUGAACUUGACCAGCAAAUGACUGAUCUUUGAAUUGUCAAAAUAUUCUCCACCAAGACAGACUUUGGGCUUUAUCUCAAGACUCUGUCUGGGUGAUGAGAUAUUUGUAAGGGGCUUCACUUUUGUGCUGGGAAUUGAACCCAUGGCCUGUGGACACAAGACAAAUGCUCUACCACUGGGCUACAUUCCCAGCCCAUGGCGCCAUCUUGAAUAGGAAAAUUGGUGAUAUCAAAGUCUCUUGUAAGAAAUAGAUAUUCAUCUUACUCUUUAUACAAAUAUUGUUUUCCAGCUUAUAAGAAAUACAGAAAAGUUGGCUCUUCUCUAAAUCCUAUUCUUGAAAUCUUACUAAAUAUAGGGUUAUUUUCUUUUCUCUGUAAAGAACAAAGAAUAAUUUUAGUAUAAAUUAUAACAAGAAGCCAGUAUUUCAUUUAAAGUGGAAUGACAGAUACAGAAUUUAAAAUUUUGAAAAAUUAGAAUUGAUUUUUUCAUUUUCUAUUUUUGACUUCCUCAAUGAUUAAAAGUCAUAUAAUUAAACAAUUUUUAGCUUUUUUCUUCUUUCCCCACUUUUGGAUUAAAGAUGCUGAUCCAGUUUUUUAUUUUCUAAUUCUGAAUUUUCCUAUGUACAGAUCCAAGGCCUUAGUACAAAAAUUUUUUUUAAAUGUUAAGUAAAAACGAGUUGAAGACCAUCUUGUCUUGUUCCAUUAUAGAAGAACCACAAAAUAUGACACUUGGUAAGAUUUGACUUUCCAUAUAAUUUUCUAUGCAAGGAUACAAUUUCUUUAUAAUUUGUUAUUUUCUGAGCCAAUUUUUUAUUAGCAAAAUAUCUAUUUGACAAUAAUAUCUUUGUCCCUUUGAAAAAUGUGGAAAAAAUGUAGCCACAUUUCAAUUAUCAGUAGAUUAGCCCAUAAUAUAUAGUCAAUGGCUGAUGAGUCUGCAUUUUGGUUUCUCUUUGACUCACCUUCUCUUUGUUCAACUGAGAGAACCACCAGGUGUGGGGAAAUGUGGUAGGUGGUGAGGGACACACAGACAGAAAGAGGAAAAAAUAUCAAUGUCGAGGACAAUGGGUGACAGUUACAUGAAUUCCUCACGCUGUGAUUUACUACCUCAGGAAAUGCUGGCUUCUGAAUUUUUCCUUUCUUUGUGAAAUUUAUCAGGAGGGAACAGGAUAUUAUUGGGCCAAGUACAUAAAAAAAUGAGGUAAAACAGAAACUCAUGAGACAAACAAAUGCAUUUUCUGUAUGAGGCAGCAAAGGAGGCUGGGUCCUCUGACCUUGUCCAUGUUACUGUCCAUUGUUUCCCCUGGGGAGGUUUUUUUUCAAGAAACACUGAAAUUCUUUCCUCUGGAUUCCUCUGUAUGUAUCAAAAAUUUUCAGUAGUUUCUAAGAAUUAUCACUAUCAAUAAGAUCUGAAGAUUGGAAACUGCAUUUGAGUUGCUAUGAUGGAAAUUUGAAAAGUACAAUGAUUUUCACAAAUGCAAAUUAUUGCAUUUUCAUUGUAUUAUAAAUAAUGAAAAACUUUUUUUUAUAAUUUUACCUAAAAUAAAUUGCUUAUUUUUA
Molecule: long non-coding RNA, 4560 nt
Organism: Cavia porcellus (domestic guinea pig)
Lineage: Eukaryota; Metazoa; Chordata; Mammalia; Rodentia; Caviidae
Exons: 2
Source: RefSeq, a predicted model, not a curated record